RNAcentral lists this long non-coding RNA (2556 nucleotides) under Homo sapiens (human). RNAcentral describes it as "PREDICTED lncRNA (TCONS_00014988)". The record is from RNAcentral. Lineage: Eukaryota; Metazoa; Chordata; Mammalia; Primates; Hominidae.
CCUGACUCCGUCUAGCCCCGCUCCGCGAGAAGAGGCUGAACUGCCCCAUCUGCUUCUAAUUUCUUUCUUUCUUUCUUUCUUUCUUUUUUUCCCCUCUUUUCCUUUUCUUCUUUUAAAUAUACGUUUGGAAAUUUGCCGGGCGUGGUGGCGGGCGCCUGUAAUCCCAGCUACUCGGGAGGCUGAGGCAGGAGAAUCGCUUGAAUCCGGGAGACGGAGGUUGCAGUGAGCCGAGAACGCGCCACUACACUCCAGCCUGGACGACGAGAGUGAUACUCCGUCUCAGUCAAUCAAUCAAUCAAUCAAUCGUUUGAUUUUCGUUUUAUGCUUUUACUUCCAAAUUUAUAUUUAUUGCAAAAAAUGUGGAAUAUAACAAAGUGUAAAGGUGAAACUGAAAUAACCCGAAAUUAUAUUUCCCCCUCUGUGGUUUUUUUUUUUCCGUCUCUGUGUUUUUCAAUGUUUUUCAGGCCUUCUGUCUUGAGCUCGUAUUACUGCUGUUCACUGAUGUAUUGUAAAAGCGUAAAACCGGACGUGACCCAAAUGUCUAUCAAAGGAGACUGAUGAGAGAAAUAAACGGAUUUGUUCACACAACGGCUUCUACAGCAAAGAAACAGAAGGUAGCUCCAAGUGCUCUGAAAUGGAAAGAAAUGGGGUUUGGUCAUGUUACCCAGGCUGGUCUCAAGCUCCUGGGAUCAAGUGAUCCGUCCGCCUUUGCCUCCCAAAGUGCUGGGAUUACAGCGGGGAGCCACUGCGCCCAGCCCAGCCAGCCCGAUUCUGACCCAGAGGGUUUAGAAGUUGCUUAGACAGAUCUGCUCCUGUAAGUUCACAGAACUCCUCUGGCUACUGCUGUCCCUUUUUUUCCUGAGUCUUGUUUGCUGAAAUCUUCUUGAGAUUCUGUGAGACAAUAGCCCCUAUUUCUUCCAGUAAAUUACUCUUUUUCUUCCCCUUUAGACAGCCAGUGCUGGUUUCUGUUACAUGUAAACAAAAAGGAUUUUAUUUUUUAUUUUUUUAGGCUAGUCAAGUGAAGCAGUGGGAGGCGGAGGACAAAAAGAAUUUUGACUAAGGCAAUAAAUAUAUUAUACAAGUGAAGUAUUUCCCAAACUGUAUUCUGUGGAAUGCUGUGUUCUCAAAUGUUAACAAGUUCCAUACAAGAACCAUUUAUUUCUAAAUUCUAAAGUCACAUUCAUAUUAUGAAUUAUAUUAAACAUAUAUAGUUACUUUUAUUAUACCUAAUAAUCUGUCUUUAUAAAAGUGUUUACCCAAAAAUGCCAGCAGAUUCCAUGAGAAACUACCUGUACUACAAUGAUCGUCAAACUUUGGUGCAUACAUGACAGAAUCAACCGGAGGGCUUGUUAAAGGAUUGCUGAGUCAAACCCCUCGUUUCAGCAGGUUUGUGGUGGGGCCUGAGAAUUUACAUUUCUUUUUUUUUUUUUUUUAGACGGAGUCUUGCUCUGUUGCCCAGACUGGAGUGCAGUGGUGCGAUCUUGGCUCACUGCAACCUCCGCCUCCCGGUUCAAGCGAUUCUUCUGCCUCAGCCUCCCGAGUAGCUGGGACUACAGGUGCCCGCCACCAUGCUCAGCUAAUUUUUGGAUUUUUAGUAGAGACGGGGUUUUACCAUAUUGGCCAGGCUGGUCUCGAACUCCUGACCUUGUGACCCACCCACCUCGGCCUCCCAAAUUGCUGGGAUUACAGGCAAGAGCCACCGCGCCCUGCCGAGAAUUUGCAUUUCUAACAAGUUCCCAGGUGAUGCUGACACUGCUGGCUCAUGGAACCACUGCUGUAGUAUUUUCCAAAUUAUCCUGAUUCUAAGAACCACCUAUGACCUGUGCUGUUUUUUCAGUGGUUACUGGCUCAUGUCACAUAAAUUCUUUUAGGAUUCAAACAUGUUUGUGAUAUUACUCAGUAUUUACAUCUUGCUUUUACUGCAGCAUGAUAGAAAAAUUAACCACAGGUAUAUCAUAACAAAAAGACCAUGAGUUACCAUUUUCACAAAGUUCAGAUAUAUUUAAAUUAGCCUAUUUAAUCUUUUUUUGGUUGUUGUUGAGAUGGAGUCUCACUCUGUCUCUCAGGCUGGAGUACAGUGGCACAAUCUCAGCUCACUGCAACCUCUGCCUCCCAGGUUCAAGUAAUUCUCCUGCCUCAGCCUCCCGAGUAGCGGGGAUUACAGGUGCCCAACACCACACAUGGCUAAUUUUUGUAUUUUUAGUAGAGAUGGGGUUUUGCCAUGUUAGCCAGGCUGGUCUUGAACUCCUGACCUCAGAUGAUCCGCCUGCCUCGGCCUCUCAAAGUGCUGGGAUUACAGGCAUGAGCCAUCGCACCCAGCCUAUGGUACACCUUUACUGAGGAAACAAUUCAGGAACAUCACUCUUAGUAAGGCAAUUGUUGAUUAUAAGUCAAAAAAACACCAUCAUGUACAAAUUCAGGGGAUUUUGUAUACCUUGUUUUUUUGGUUACAAAUAUGCAAAAUUAAAGAUGUUUGCUAAUACUUGUUUCCAAUUUUUAAACUUUUCAAGUGUUGCACUGUUAAUAAUGUUAAAAUAAAAGGCAUUUGACUUAGUA